RNAcentral lists this ribosomal RNA (891 nucleotides) under uncultured Planctomycetota bacterium. Its description in RNAcentral is "bacterial SSU rRNA". It matches the Rfam family "Bacterial small subunit ribosomal RNA", at positions 34 to 865 of the family's 1533-position model. The record is from RNAcentral. Lineage: Bacteria; Pseudomonadati; Planctomycetota.
UGGAAUUCGCCCUUGGAUUAGGCAUGCAAGUCGAACGAGAUCCUUAUUUCGGUAAGGUGAGAGUGGCGAAAGGGAGAGUAAUGCAUAGACAACCAACCCUUGACACCGGGAUAGCUGGGGGAAACCCCAGAUAAUACCGGAUAGGCUCGCGGGGGCUCCUGCUCCUGCGAGUAAAAGAGGCCUCUUAACAAUGCUCCUGGUUGAGGACGGGUUUAUGUCCUAUCAGCUUGUUGGUGGGGUAAUGGCCUACCAAAUCCCACUUCGGUGGGGGGCGAUGACGGGUAGCCGGCCUGAGAGGGUGUUCGGCCUCACUGGGACUGAGACACUGCCCAGACUCCUACGGGAGGCUGCAGUCGAGAAUCUUCCGCAAUGGGGGAAACCCUGACGGAGCGACGCCGCGUGUAGGAUGAAGGCCUUCGGGUUGUAAACUACUGUCACAGGUUAGGAAAGGGUCGGGCGUCAAUAGUGUCCGGCUUUGACAAAGGCCUGAGAGGAAGCCACGGCUAACUUCGUGCCAGCAGCCGCGGUAAGACGAAGGUGGCAACCGUUGUUCGGAAUCACUGGGCAUAAAGAGCACGUAGGCGGGUGAGUAAGUCGGGUGUGAAAUCCCUCGGCCCAACCGAGGAACUGCGCCCGAAACUGCUCGCCUUGAGGACUGGAGGGGAGUGUGGAAUCCCUGGUGGAGCGGUGAAAUGCGUUGAUAUCAGGGGGAACACCGGCGGCGAAGGCGGCACUCUGGCCAGUUUCUGACGCUGAGGUGCGAAAGCUAGGGUAGCAAACGGGAUUAGAUACCCCGGUAGUCCUAGCCGUAAACGAUGGGCACUAAGUAGAGGGAAGGGCGAAUUCUGCAGAUAUCCAUCACACUGGCGGCCGCUCGAGCAUGCAUCUAGA